AGGCUGGGGAGGAGUCUGUCACAACCAUACCAUAUAUUGCAGCUCCACCAUUUUAUUUACCACCUUCAGCAGCUUCAGUUGCUGACAUUAUUGGAGAGUCUGGAAGUCGAUUGCAGCUGAGACGAAGUGGCUCAUUGCUCAGAAAGUCACACACCAGCGAUGAUGAGCUUGAUGAAUUGAAUUCACCUAUGGCUUCAAUUUUCCUUGUCGGCUCUCAAACUUCACCUGCUCCAACAAAGCUUGGCUGGAAAUCAAAGGAAAUGGGAAAUCAAAAUUCCAUUAGAUAUGAACUUCUUAGG
RNAcentral lists this unclassified non-coding RNA (299 nucleotides) under Hevea brasiliensis (rubber tree). Lineage: Eukaryota; Viridiplantae; Streptophyta; Magnoliopsida; Malpighiales; Euphorbiaceae. The record is from RNAcentral.